RNAcentral lists this ribosomal RNA (493 nucleotides) under uncultured bacterium. RNAcentral describes it as "partial 16S ribosomal RNA". It matches the Rfam family "Bacterial small subunit ribosomal RNA", at positions 29 to 508 of the family's 1533-position model. The record is from RNAcentral.
AGUGAACGCUGGCGGUAGGCCUAACACAUGCAAGUCGAACGGCAGCACAGUAAGAGCUUGCUCUUACGGGUGGCGAGUGGCGGACGGGUGAGGAAUACAUCGGAAUCUACUUUUUCGUGGGGGUUAACGUAGGGAAACUUACGCUAAUACCGCAUACGACCUACGGGUGAAAGCAGGGGAUCUUCGGACCUUGCGCGAUUGAAUGAGCCGAUGGCGGAUUAGCUAGUUGGCGGGGUAAAGGCCCACUAAGGCGACGAUCCGUAGCUGGUCUGAGAGGAUGAUACGCCACACUGGAACUGAGACACGGCCCAGACGACUACGGGAGGGAGCAGUAGUGGAUAUUGGACAAUGGGCGGAAACCUGAACCAGCCAUACCGCAGGGGUGAAGAAGGCCUUCGGGUUGUAAAGCCCUUUUGUUGGGAGAGAAAAGCAGCAGGUUAAUACCCCGCUGUUCUGACGGUACCCAAAGAAUAAACACCCGCUAACUUCGUGC